RNAcentral lists this ribosomal RNA (551 nucleotides) under uncultured Glomeromycotina. RNAcentral's name for it is "SSU rRNA". It matches the Rfam family "Eukaryotic small subunit ribosomal RNA", at positions 548 to 1098 of the family's 1831-position model. The record is from RNAcentral. Lineage: Eukaryota; Fungi; Glomeromycota.
UUGGAGGGCAAGUCUGGUGCCAGCAGCCGCGGUAAUUCCAGCUCCAAUAGCGUAUAUUAAAGUUGUUGCAGUUAAAAAGCUCGUAGUUGAAUUUCGGGAUCAAUUUAUUGGUCGGGCUUCACGGUCCGUACUGGUGUGAUGGGUUCCUACCUUCCGAAUAACCGGCAUGCCAUUAAUUUGGUGCGCCGGGGAAGCAGAACUAUUACCUUGAAAAAAUUAGAGUGCUUAAAGCAGGCAAGUGCCUGAAUAGGUUAGCAUGGAAUAAUAAAAUAGGACGGCAUGGUUCUAUUUUGUUGGUUUCUAGGAUCACCGUAAUGAUUAAUAGGGAUAGUUGGGGGCAUUAGUAUUCAAUUGUCAGAGGUGAAAUUCUUGGAUUUAUUGAAGACUAACUUCUGCGAAAGCAUUUGCCAAGGAUGUUUUCAUUAAUCAAGAACGAAAGUUAGGGGAUCGAAGACGAUCAGAUACCGUCGUAGUCUUAACCAUAAACUAUGCCGACUAGGGAUCGGAUGAUGUUAAUUUUUUAAUGACUCAUUCGGCGCCUUACGGGAAAC